AACGAACACUGGCGGCAUGCCUAACACAUGCAAGUCGAACGAAGGCUUCGGCCUUAGUGGCGCACGGGUGCGUAACGCGUGGGAAUCUGCCCUUGGGUUCGGAAUAACUCAGAGAAAUUUGAGCUAAUACCGGAUGAUGACGUAAGUCCAAAGAUUUAUCGCCCAAGGAUGAGCCCGCGUAAGAUUAGCUAGUUGGUGGGGUAAAGGCCUACCAAGGCGACGAUCUUUAGCUGGUCUGAGAGGAUGAUCAGCCACACUGGGACUGAGACACGGCCCAGACUCCUACGGGAGGCAGCAGUGGGGAAUAUUGCGCAAUGGACGAAAGUCUGACGCAGCCACGCCGCGUGAGUGAGGAAGGCCUCGGUUGUAAGAC
This 373-nucleotide ribosomal RNA is filed under the name uncultured bacterium. Its description in RNAcentral is "bacterial SSU rRNA". It matches the Rfam family "Bacterial small subunit ribosomal RNA", at positions 29 to 431 of the family's 1533-position model. The record is from RNAcentral.